RNAcentral lists this ribosomal RNA (433 nucleotides) under uncultured bacterium. RNAcentral describes it as "partial 16S ribosomal RNA". It matches the Rfam family "Bacterial small subunit ribosomal RNA", at positions 29 to 507 of the family's 1533-position model. The record is from RNAcentral.
AACGAACGCUGGCGGCAUGCCUAACACAUGCAAGUCGAACGAGACCUUCGGGUCUAGUGGCGCACGGGUGCGUAACGCGUGGGAACCUGCCUUUAGGUUCGGAAUAACUCAGAGAAAUUUGAGCUAAUACCGGAUGAUGUCUUCGGACCAAAGAUUUAUCGCCUUUAGAUGGGCCCGCGUUGGAUUAGCUAGUUGGUGGGGUAAAGGCCUACCAAGGCGACGAUCCAUAGCUGGUCUGAGAGGAUGAUCAGCCACACUGGGACUGAGACACGGCCCAGACUCCUACGGGAAGCAGCAGUGGGGAAUAUUGGACAAUGGGCGAAAGCCUGAUCCAGCAAUGCCGCGUGAGUGAUGAAGGCCCUAGGGUUGUAAAGCUCUUUUACCCGAGAUGAUAAUGACAGUAUCGGGAGAAUAAGCUCCGGCUAACUCCGUG